CCCGCCACCCAGCAGCUUGGCUAUUUUCUAAGUAAGGGUUUUAAGAAACACCAUUCUUGUCUUCUCAUCAGCAAGUGUCGUCUACUCAUUUGUUGUUUCACUUUGUUCUGUGGUUUUGAGACAGGGCCUCACUAUAUAACCUAGGAUGGUCUUGAACUCAUAUCAGUUCUCCUGCCUCAGCUUUCCAAGUGCGGGGAUCUAUCAUGAGUGACCAAGCCCAGCACACACUUGUGCUGACAGGUUUUUGUUUAGUUGGGUUUUGGUUUUGAGUUGCUAGGGAUCAGAACCAGGACCUUGGGCUGAGAACGGUGGCGUGCGCCUGUCAUCCCCGCUCUCAGCAGGCAGAGGCAGGUGGAUGGCCGUGAGCUCAGGCAAACCAAGGCUACACAGUGAGACCCUCGUCUGACUCUGCCACGGAGCUCUGUUCCCGAUGCAGUACGUUUGUUCCCUGGAGAGCUAGAGCUAGCAAAGUCCCCACCUGGUUCUGCGGGCACUCCCACUCCCCGGGUCAUUGUCGCAGGGAGCAUGGCUGUGUUCGCUAAAGCUGAUUUACAACCAGGCGCUAAGCCAGCGGUCCUCAGCCUGUGGGUCAUCACCCCUGUUGGGGUCGUAUAUCCAGUACUCUGAUAUGAGGUUUUUACAGUACGGUUCGUAUCAGCAGCAAACUCACAGUUAUGAAAUAGCAGCAAAUGAUUUUAUGGCUGGGGUCCCCACAACAUGAGGAGCUGUAUUAAGGGUCACGGCAUUGGGCAGGUUGAGGACCACUGUAAGUGCUGGUCCCCAGCUCCGAGAGCAGAGGAGUGCUGCCUGGAGUUCAGAACAUCGUGUCCUUGUCCGUGAUGCCACAGGAGCAGAUCGUGGGUCUCAGCUGUGAGAGUCUUGCUGAGAUCCCUUUAUUUAUCCAGCUCUUGGCCGUGGAGUUGAUUGGACUCUGGGAUACAACUGUGUGAUAACGAAUGUGUGUUUGUAGUCAUUUGUGCUUUUUUUCUGAAAAAAAAUUAAAGCUGGGUUUGUGGACCAUUAGGAUGGACUGGAAACACUCCUGUGCUGCUGGGAUGGGGGCUUGUCUGAGGGGGUUCCCCUGUGGUCACAGGUUCUUGCCUACAGGGGCUGCAGCUCUUCCUCUUACUGCGCUGUUGGGGAUGAUAGCCACUAAUUCUCAGGAUUUCUUCUUGUCAGAGGAGUGUGUGUGUGUGUGUGUGUGUGUGUGUGUGUGUGUGUGUGUGUGUGUGUUCCUGGAACCCUUUACUCUUUGGUUUUACAUCUAGAUACAGUAGAUGGUUUGAGGACUCACCAACUAUUCUGUGUUUACUUUUUCUGUAUUAAGCUCUGCAGUAGCUUUGAAACUGUAAUUUAUUUUUGUAUCAAGUGCACUAUAUCCAGUGACUUCUCAUUGUAUAUGGCUUGUAUUAGAACCACUACACUGAACUGUGAGUUGUCUGUACACUGAACAAGAACUCUAGACCUGACCCAUUCAAAUAAAACUUCUACGAGACCGUU
Long non-coding RNA from Peromyscus leucopus (white-footed mouse), 1500 nucleotides. RefSeq lists it as uncharacterized. Lineage: Eukaryota; Metazoa; Chordata; Mammalia; Rodentia; Cricetidae. The record is from RefSeq and is a predicted model, not a curated record. The transcript is spliced from 2 exons.